Molecule: ribosomal RNA, 332 nt
Filed under: Pteridomonas danica
Lineage: Eukaryota; Dictyochophyceae; Pedinellales
Description: partial Bacterial large subunit ribosomal RNA
Rfam family: Bacterial large subunit ribosomal RNA
Source: RNAcentral
GCGAAAUUCCUUGUCGGGUAAGUUCCGACCUGCACGAAUGGCGUAACGAUGGGGGCGCUGUCUCUACCCGAGACUCAGUGAAAUUGAAAUCGCCGUGAAGAUGCGGUGUAUCCGCGGCUAGACGGAAAGACCCCGUGAACCUUUACUAUAGCUUCACAGUGAACUUUGAGCAUGUUUGUGUAGGAUAGCUGGGAGGCUUUGAAACCUAGGCGCUAGCUUAGGUGGAGCCAAUCUUGAAAUACCAGCCUGGUACUAUUGGGGUUCUAACUCUGGACCAUUAUCUGGUUCGAGGACAUUGUGUGGUGGGUAGUUUGACUGGGGCGGUCUCCUCC